Molecule: long non-coding RNA, 200 nt
Organism: Saccostrea cuccullata (small rock oyster)
Lineage: Eukaryota; Metazoa; Mollusca; Bivalvia; Ostreida; Ostreidae
Exons: 2
Source: RefSeq, a predicted model, not a curated record
UAUUAUAGGAUGCUGACUUCAAGGAGCCUGUUAGAAAGUUCACUCAGGAAGAAAUGAUCAAACUAAAACUACAGUACUACAAUGCAGAUGUCCAUAGGAGUGCCUUUGUUCUACCCCAGUUUGCCAGAAAGGUUUUAAAAGGAGAAAGUAUAGAAAAUGGACCAAGUAACAACCAGUAACCAUGACAUAUAUGAAAAUAA